AGAAAAGAUGAUGAUGAUCUGAUUGGAUAUAUCUUGAACGGAUUGAACUCUGAUUACAAUCCGUUUGUUUCCUCGGUGGCGAGCAAGGACUCAUUGUCCUUGAGUGAUGUCUACGGUCAGCUUCUAUC
This 128-nucleotide small nucleolar RNA is filed under the name Dichanthelium oligosanthes. RNAcentral describes it as "Small nucleolar RNA Z247". It matches the Rfam family "Small nucleolar RNA Z247". From Rfam's summary of the family: Z247 is a member of the C/D class of snoRNA which contain the C (UGAUGA) and D (CUGA) box motifs. Most of the members of the box C/D family function in directing site-specific 2'-O-methylation of substrate RNAs. The record is from Rfam by way of RNAcentral. Lineage: Eukaryota; Viridiplantae; Streptophyta; Magnoliopsida; Poales; Poaceae.